Molecule: long non-coding RNA, 371 nt
Filed under: Aotus nancymaae (Ma's night monkey)
Lineage: Eukaryota; Metazoa; Chordata; Mammalia; Primates; Aotidae
Description: lncRNA (ENSANAG00000039205.1)
Source: RNAcentral
GGAUUAGGUUAUGAACUGUGGUGGAGUUGACCUCCCCAGGACCUUUGAGUGUCCAAAGAGAAACUAGGGAUUGUUGAGGAGGAAGAAGUGAAGGAGGAAAGGAAUACUAUGAAAGUAACAAAAAAAGAACUUGGUGUAAGCAUCUUAAUUCUGGUUACAGUUAUGACUAUUUACAAAUUUUAAACAGUGCCUUGAUUAAAUUUCAGACAGAGAAGACUGCUUUAUCAACUAGAAGAUGGAAGAAAUCUUGAGAUGAUGAAGUCACAGAUGUGAAAGCAUGUAAAAUUAUAAAGCUCUGGCAAGAGAGACUGAGAAUAGAGGUAUGGAUUGGGGGAGGGCAACAUUUCCUAACACGCAUAUAAAAAUUAUGU